CUCCUGCUGACGAGUCCCAAAUAGGACGAAACGCGCUUCAAACUGGAU
This 48-nucleotide non-coding RNA is filed under the name Schistosoma mansoni. Lineage: Eukaryota; Metazoa; Platyhelminthes; Trematoda; Strigeidida; Schistosomatidae. The record is from RNAcentral.